AAACCGUGUUGCGGGCAUGAACUGACGGGAUCCUUGAACCACUCCCAACAUUGGAAGAAUGUUUCGUCUUCCUUUUGGGCAAAGUUUAUAAUCGAUUUUCUGAUAGU
Molecule: small nucleolar RNA, 107 nt
Organism: Magnolia sinica
Lineage: Eukaryota; Viridiplantae; Streptophyta; Magnoliopsida; Magnoliales; Magnoliaceae
Source: RefSeq, a predicted model, not a curated record